ACACAGAGGCCGGCUUGGUCACUAUGGAGGAGAUAGGCAUCUUGGUGGAGAAGGCUCAGGAUGAGAUCCCAGCACUGUCCGUGUCCCGGCCCCAGACCGGCCUGUCCUUCCUGGGCCCUGAGCCUGAGGACCUGGAGGACCUGUACAGCCGCUACAAGAAGCUGCAGCAAGAGCUGGAGUUCCUGGAGGUGCAGGAGGAAUACAUCAAAGAUGAGCAAAAGAACCUGAAAAAGGAAUUUCUCCAUGCCCAGGAGGAGGUGAAGCGAAUCCAAAGCAUCCCGCUGGUCAUCGGACAAUUUCUGGAGGCUGUGGAUCAGAAUACAGCCAUCGUGGGCUCUACCACAGGCUCCAACUAUUAUGUGCGCAUCCUGAGCACCAUCGAUCGGGAGCUGCUCAAGCCCAAUGCCUCAGUGGCCCUCCACAAGCACAGCAAUGCACUGGUGGACGUGCUGCCCCCCGAAGCCGACAGCAGCAUCAUGAUGCUCACCUCAGACCAGAAGCCAGAUGUGAUGUACGCGGACAUCGGAGGCAUGGACAUCCAGAAGCAGGAGGUGCGGGAGGCCGUGGAGCUCCCGCUCACGCAUUUCGAGCUCUACAAGCAGAUCGGCAUCGAUCCCCCCCGAGGCGUCCUCAUGUAUGGCCCACCUGGCUGCGGGAAGACCAUGUUGGCAAAGGCGGUGGCACAUCACACAACAGCUGCAUUCAUCCGGGUCGUGGGCUCGGAGUUUGUACAGAAGUAUCUAGGUGAGGGCCCCCGCAUGGUCCGGGAUGUGUUCCGCCUGGCCAAGGAGAAUGCACCUGCCAUCAUCUUCAUAGACGAGAUUGAUGCCAUUGCCACCAAGAGAUUCGAUGCUCAGACAGGGGCCGACAGGGAGGUUCAGAGGAUCCUGCUGGAGCUGCUGAAUCAGAUGGAUGGAUUUGAUCAGAAUGUCAAUGUCAAGGUAAUCAUGGCCACAAACAGAGCAGACACCCUGGAUCCGGCCCUGCUACGGCCAGGACGGCUGGACCGUAAAAUUGAAUUUCCACUUCCUGACCGCCGCCAGAAGAGAUUGAUUUUCUCCACUAUCACUAGCAAGAUGAACCUCUCUGAGGAGGUUGACUUGGAAGACUGUAUCCUGCUCCAGAAGUCAGGGAGGGGCCCUAGUUGGGAACGGGGAUUAGAUCUUCAGCUCAACUUCUGCCAUCACCACAGCCCAGACUGUGCAGGUGGGACCAAGGUCCAGGGAGGAGGGGAGGUGACAGAGAUGGCCAAAGAUGACUUCCAGCCCCAGGCAUUUACCCCAUCACACAGGGAAUAGUUUCCUUAACUCGCUGCAGAUGUGGCCCGGCCAGAUAAGAUUUCAGGAGCUGAUAUCAACUCCAUCUGUCAGGAGAGUGGAAUGUUGGCUGUCCGUGAAAACCGCUACAUUGUCCUGGCCAAGGACUUCGAGAAAGCAUACAAGACUGUCAUCAAGAAGGACGAGCAGGAGCAUGAGUUUUACAAGUGACCCUUCCCUUCCCUCCACCACACCACUCAGGGGCUGGGGCUUCUCUCGCACCCCCAGCACCUCUGUCCCAAAACCUCAUUCCCUUUUUUCUUUACCCAGGAUUGGUUUCUUCAAUAAAUAGAUAAGAUCGAAUCCA
RNAcentral lists this small RNA (1623 nucleotides) under Pan troglodytes (chimpanzee). RNAcentral describes it as "retained intron". Lineage: Eukaryota; Metazoa; Chordata; Mammalia; Primates; Hominidae. The record is from RNAcentral.